ACGAUCCACUGAGAUUCAG
Molecule: small nuclear RNA, 19 nt
Filed under: Arabidopsis thaliana (thale cress)
Lineage: Eukaryota; Viridiplantae; Streptophyta; Magnoliopsida; Brassicales; Brassicaceae
Description: snRNA_09010
Source: RNAcentral